GAUGAACGCUAGCGGCAGGCUUAACACAUGCAAGUCGAGGGGCAGCAUGACGGAACUUUCGGGUUCUGUUGAUGGCGACCGGCGCAAGGGUGCGUAACGCGUGAGCAACUUGCCCGUUUCUGGGGAAUAACCGGUGGAAACGCCGACUAAUACUCCAUGGUACAUUGGUGAGGCAUCUCAUUGAUGUUAAAGAUUUAUCGGAAACGGAUAGGCUCGCGUGACAUUAGCUAGAUGGCGGGGUAACGGCCCACCAUGGCGACGAUGUCUAGGGGUUCUGAGAGGAAGGUCCCCCACACUGGAACUGAGACACGGUCCAGACUCCUACGGGAGGCAGCAGUGAGGAAUAUUGGUCAAUGGUCGGAAGACUGAACCAGCCAUGCCGCGUGAAGGUGACGGCCCUAUGGGUCUUAAACUUCUUUUGUAAGGGAGCAAUAAGGUUCACGUGUGGACAGAUGAGAGUACCUUACGAAUAAGCAUCGGCUAACUCCGU
This 490-nucleotide ribosomal RNA is filed under the name uncultured bacterium. Its description in RNAcentral is "bacterial SSU rRNA". It matches the Rfam family "Bacterial small subunit ribosomal RNA", at positions 28 to 506 of the family's 1533-position model. The record is from RNAcentral.